AAAAGACAUGUUAUGACUAUCGAGCCAUCCAAAAUUUAUAUUUGACCAAGAAGCAUCUCACUGACAUAGGGUGCAACAGCAGGAUUUAAACUACUAACCUCUAAAACACGACUUUCAAUUGCAGAAAACAGCAUCUUACCUUGUUUGGAGCGUACAAGAUUUCUUAAGACCAGAGUAGCAGUAAGUGCAAUUCCAGUUGCAUCGCCUUGAUCAUCGACAGCUGUUAGUAAUAACGGGAUACGGAAUUCUCUUGAUGGAGAUAGUUUUCGUCCCUCAACCAAAGUUUCUAGUGAAUCAUCAUGAAGGUGCGUAACGAUGUGAGACAACAACUGAUAAUGCGACAGC
Molecule: non-coding RNA, 345 nt
Organism: Schizosaccharomyces pombe (fission yeast)
Lineage: Eukaryota; Fungi; Ascomycota; Schizosaccharomycetes; Schizosaccharomycetales; Schizosaccharomycetaceae
Source: the annotation of a GenBank genome assembly